GCGCGCAAAUUACCCAAUCCUGACACAGGGAGGUAGUGACAAGAAAUAACAAUACGGGGGUCUCUGACUUUCGUAAUUGGAAUGAGAACAAUUUAAAUCCCUUAUCGAGGAACAAUUGGAGGGCAAGUCUGGUGCCAG
Molecule: ribosomal RNA, 138 nt
Filed under: uncultured eukaryote
Lineage: Eukaryota
Description: partial 18S ribosomal RNA
Rfam family: Eukaryotic small subunit ribosomal RNA
Source: RNAcentral